UACAGAGGUGGCAAGCGUUGUUCGGAAUUACUGGGCGUAAAGGGCGCGUAGGCGGCCUUCUAAGUCAGACGUGAAAUCCCCCGGCUUAACCUGGGAACUGCGUCUGAUACUGGGAGGCUUGAGUAUGGGAGAGGGAUGUAGAAUUCCAGGUGUAGCGGUGAAAUGCGUAGAUAUCGGGAGGAACACCAAUGGCGAAGGCAGCUCGCUGGGACGUUACUGACGCUGAGACGCGAAAGCGUGGGGAGCGAACAGG
This 253-nucleotide ribosomal RNA is filed under the name uncultured bacterium. RNAcentral's name for it is "partial 16S ribosomal RNA". It matches the Rfam family "Bacterial small subunit ribosomal RNA", at positions 524 to 776 of the family's 1533-position model. The record is from RNAcentral.